This 1003-nucleotide long non-coding RNA is filed under the name Callithrix jacchus (white-tufted-ear marmoset). Its description in RNAcentral is "lncRNA (ENSCJAG00000083178.1)". The record is from RNAcentral. Lineage: Eukaryota; Metazoa; Chordata; Mammalia; Primates; Cebidae.
UUCUGAUUUUACAGGCUCAUAGGCAGAAGGGACUUGCCUUGUCUCAGAUGAGACUUUAGACUGUAGACUUUUGCGUUAAUACUGAAAUGAGUUAAGACUUUGGGGGACAGUUGGAAGGCAUGAUUGGUUUUGAAAUGUGAGAACAUGAGAUUUGGAAGGGCCAGGGGUAGAGUGAUAUGUUUUGGCUCUGACCCCACCCAAAUCGCAACUUGAAUUGUAUCACCCAGAAUUCUCAUGUGUUGUGGGAGGGACUCAGGGGGAGGUAGCUGAAUAAUGGGGGCCCAUUUUUCUGGUGCUAUUCUCAAGAUAGUGAAUAAGUCUCAUGAGAUCUAGUGGAUUUAUCAGGGGUUUCCCCUUUUGCAUUUUCCUCAUUUUCUCUUGCCACCACCAUGUAAGAAGUGCCUUUUGCCUCCCACCAUGAUUCUAAGGCCUCCCCAGUCACAUAGAACUGGCAGAAAGCUUAAAUGUGGUUACUCAACCAGAGCUGUGGAGAAGUGUACUUGGCUGCCGAGUUAUAGGGUGAGUAACUAAAAAUAAAUGUGUUCAGCACUUACCUCUUCUAGUUCAAUGCUGUCCAGUUGAGUUUCAAUGUUUGUGUUUUGAUAGACAGACAUAUCUUUAGAAGUUCUCAAUUUAUCUAACCCAAGUUUUGGAAAAUUGUUUUCAGUUUGAUGAUAGUAAUAAAAUAUUAGGACAAAUAUACCCUAGAUAAUCUGAAUGACCACAUUAUAAUCAAAUAAUACUGGCACCUCUUGUGUGUGUGAUUGCCAUUUAUAAUUGCCAUGUAGCACAAAUCUAAUUACUGUGUACCAAUUAGAAAGGAACAAUUGUGAACCUAAUCUUGAACUGACUACACAGAAAACAGAAAUAAUGUCAGGAUGCAUUGGAAAAGCAAAAUAGGUCAGCAGAGAAAAUGAUGGAAGAUUUGAGCCAAUACAAGAGAUGUUGUAGUGCAGGCUUGCUGAACUCAGAAAACAAAUGCAAUAGUCAUCAGGACAUUUAG